RNAcentral lists this long non-coding RNA (607 nucleotides) under Apteryx owenii (little spotted kiwi). RNAcentral's name for it is "lncRNA (ENSAOWG00000006846.1)". Lineage: Eukaryota; Metazoa; Chordata; Aves; Apterygiformes; Apterygidae. The record is from RNAcentral.
AUCAGGAACAGUUGUUUGCUGUUUUUCAGAACAAGAUUACAACAGUCAAAUGACACUAAAAGAUGGAAGAUACAAAACAAGCAAAGAAGGCGUUCUUUUACACGAUACCCAGGCGAUAAUGUUGUCCCUGCCACUUAUGUACAUACGGCUUCAUACUCGCUUGAAACACAGAUAAACCUGAGUGCUGUGGCUACCAGCAGGAUGGAGCAGGCAAUCAGACUUUGUUUAACCACUGAGUUGCUUGUGCCUGUGUGGUUCUUCUUGGACAAAGCAUCCUAAAGAAUUUUGCAAAGGAAAGAUAUUAAAGCAAAGUCAAGCAGAAUGCUGGAAUAAGAUUCACUAAGUGGCAAGCAGGAGCGACAAUUUUUACCAGUAAGACAAACUCCUAUACAACUACCUGAUAGCAGCAGGAAGUGAAUAUUGAGGUAACAGGUCUUCUACGUUUAUUCCCUGGUGAUCCAUCUGUACUUGACUUCACUUCCCCAAACCUUUGCUGUGCUACCCAAUAUGUACAUAUGUAUACAUAUGCAUACACAUACAUAUAUGUAUUAUUCCAUCUGUUUGUAUUUCCAUAUUAACUGUCUCUUUCCCUGUUGCUGUAAGUCAG